This 3207-nucleotide long non-coding RNA is filed under the name Triticum aestivum (bread wheat). RNAcentral describes it as "long non-coding RNA (TAES_LNC005459)". Lineage: Eukaryota; Viridiplantae; Streptophyta; Magnoliopsida; Poales; Poaceae. The record is from RNAcentral.
UCGUCGUCGAAGGUGGCGUCUGGCUCCUGGGCUCCAACAUCUGGUUGCGACAACCAGGUAGAAGGGAUAGGGGGAAAAGAGGGAGAAAGCAACCGUGAGUACUCAUCCAAAGUACUCGCAAGCAAGGAGCUACAUUACAUAUGUAUGCAUUGGUAUCAAUUGGAAUAAGGCUAUCAUAUGUGGACUGAACUGCAGAAUGUCGGAAUAAGAGGGGGAUAGCUAGUCCUUUCGAAGACUACGCUUCUGGCAGCCUCCGUCUUGCAGCAUGUAGAAGAGAGUAGACUGAAGACCUCCAAGUAGCAUCGUAUAGCAUAAUCCUAACCGAUGAUCCUCCCCUCGUCGCCCUGUGAGAGAGCGAUCACCGGUUGUAUCUGGCACUUGGAAGGGUGUGUUUUAUUAAGUAUCUGGUUCUAGUUGUCAUAAGGUUAAGGUACAACUCCAAGUCGUCCUGUUACCGAAGAUCACGGCUAUUCGAAUAGAUUAACUUCCCUGCAGGGGUGCACCACAUAACCCAACACGCUCGAUCCCAUUUGGCCGGACACACUUUCCUGGGUCAUGCCCGACCUCGAAAGAUCAACACGUUGCAGCCCUACCUAGGCACAACAGAGAGGUCAGCACGCCGGUCUAAAUCCUAUGGUACAGGGGUCUGGGCCCAUCGCCCUUUGCACACCUGCACGUUGCGAACGCGGCCGGAAGCAGAACUAGCCCCCUUAAUACAAGAGCAGGCUUACGGUCCAAUCCGGCGCGCGCCGCUCAGUCACUGACGUCACGAAGGCUUCAGCUGAUACCACGACGUCGAGUGCCCAUAACUGUCCCCGCGUAGAUGGUUAGUGCGUAUAGGCCAGUAGCCAGACUCAGAUCAAAUACCAAGAUCUCGUUAAACGUGUUAAGUAUCCGCGAACACCGACCAGGGCCAGGCCCACCUCUCUCCUAGGUGGUCUCAGCCCGCCCUAUCGCUCCGCCACAAAGUAACAGUCGGGGGCCGUCGGGAACCCAGGCCCACCUCUACCGGGAUGGAGCCACCUGCCCCUUCAGCCCCCAACUCCGAACAGUACCACAGGUAAUGUAACUGUGUAAAGUAUUUAGUAUAUGCCCUUGAUCACCUCCCGAAGUGAUCACGGCCCAGUAGUAUAGCAUGGCAGACGGACAAGAGUGUAGGGCCACUAACGGAACACUAGCAUCCUAUACUAAGCAGUAGGAUAGCAGGUAAAGGUAACAACAGUAGUAGCAAGGGCAGGCUAUGCAGCAGUAUAGGAUUAACUGAAAGCAGUAACAUGCUACACUACUCUAAUGCAAGCAGUAUAGAGAAGAAUAGGUGAUAUCUGGUGAUCAAGGGGGGGCUUGCCUGGUUGCUUUGGCAAGAAGGGGUCGUCGUCGAUGUAGUCGAUCACAGGGGUAUCGACAACGGCCUUGGAGCUUACCAGAAAGAAGUAACGGAGGGGGAACACAAUAAAUACCAGAGCAAUCAAAUGCAACACAAAGAAAGACGCGGCAAUACGUUGUGCUAGGAGUGACCAAACGCAGGGACAGGUGAUACCGGCGAACGGGGAAAACAUCCGGGAAAGUAUUCCCGAUGUUCCACGUUUCCGGACAGACGGACCAGUGGGGGAAAGUUGCGUGUUUGCUAUACUAGGGAUGUGUGACCGACGAACGGGUUGUGUAUUCAGAUUCGUCUCGUUGUUCUGAGCAACUUUCAUGUACAAAAUAUUUCCAUCCGAGAUACGGUUUAUUUUAUAUGAUUUUUCAAAGUUUAUAGUAUUUUUUUAUGAUUUUCUGGAAUAUUUUUAUUUAAUCUAAUCCGAAUUUGACCAAGUCAAUUUGACUAGUCAAAAGGGAGGAUGUGGCCCACAUGUCAUUGACACAUAAUUUAAUUGACGGAUAAACUAAAAUGGAGGGGUUAAAUUAACACAGGGGGCCACAUGUCAUAGGCUAGCAAUUAUCCAAAGUACUAAUUAGUCUAACUACUCAUUAGCUACUAACCUAAAUAGGGCCGGUCACAUCCAGAGACGCAGCCGGCCACACACACGCUGCACACACACACACACACACACACACACACACAUCACACAAGCACACAGGGCCGGCCAGAGGCACACAGCCGGCCACACACGGCGCACACACAUAAUGCUAGGGAGUAACUCUAUUCCUUUUAACACAAGAUAGCAUUUUGUGAUUUUUGUAGGAUUUAUCCAUGCAUCAAAAGUAUUUGGUCCAGUGAGAUAAAAUGGAGUUUGUCAUGUAUACUUUCUACUUAUAUUAUUUUCACUCAUGUUUACAACUGUUUAACCACAGUUUAGGGGCUGCCCAGGGGGUUACUCGAUGUAAUAUUCGCAAAGCUAGCUAGCAGCUACAGUAGCUAUCAUCAGUUAGCAGUAGACAAGUAGCAAGCGGCAGCAGCAUUGGGCAACCAGAAGCAGUAGUCGCCGGUAGUAUCAGGCACGCACAACGGCGCGUGCGCAAGCGCAAGGCACGGCCAGCACGGGGAGCAGCGAGCAGCGCCGGGCGGCAAGCAAGGCAGCAACGCAGCGGCCUGAACAACAACAACUAGCAGCCAUACGCAGCGCCAGCAGCAGAACGCAGCAGCCGCGGCGACAGAGCAAAGUAGCAGCAGCAGAAGACGCGACGCGCGGCAAAGUAGGAUGCAGCUCGGGCGUAGGCGCGGGCGUGGGCGCGAGCAUGUGCGGGUGAGCGCGUGUAGGGCGGCCAAGGUCGCGGCCGGACGCGGCCAGAGGCGAGGGAGCGCGAGGCUGAGCGGUGGCGCCGGCUCGGACUCGACGGGGUCGAAGCCACGGGUGCACACACGACGAGCAUGAGGCUAGGGGAGCACCUACACGAUCCAGCGAAGAUGAUGGGCACACGCGUGUGACCAAUAGGCCACUGGAGUGACGCCGGCGACCAGCCGUGGGGCCUCAAGCUUCGGCCAUGACGGUCCUAUGGCCUAGAGGUCGAGCUCGUGCAAGAGAGGUGAGGGGGAAGGAAGAGGAGCUCACAAUGAGCCUGUAGGUGUGCAUAGCGGGCUCGGGGGAGGCUCGGAGGCGACGAAUCCCGGCAAUGGCGUUGGCGGUGCAGAGAAGGGGAACGACUCGAUCCGGUCGAAGCAGAGGCACUCGGCUCGCAUUCUUCAGCGUAGAGGAAGAAGCGGAGGCGGGAGGAGCUCCUGGCGCAGUCCUAGGCGAAGGGAAGGGCAGUGGCCACGGGAUCGAAGAG